CAGUCGCCGCGGGAAUACGGAGGGUGCAAGCGUUAAUCGGAAUUACUGGGCGUAAAGCGCACGCAGGCGGUUUGUUAAGUCAGAUGUGAAAUCCCCGGGCUCAACCUGGGAACUGCAUUUGAAACUGGCAAGCUAGAGUCUCGUAGAGGGGGGUAGAAUUCCAGGUGUAGCGGUGAAAUGCGUAGAGAUCUGGAGGAAUACCGGUGGCGAAGGCGGCCCCCUGGACAAAGACUGACGCUCAGGUGCGAAAGCGUGGGGAGCAAACAGGAUUAGAUACCCCAGUAGUCCCUGUCUCUUAUAC
Molecule: ribosomal RNA, 301 nt
Filed under: uncultured bacterium
Lineage: Bacteria
Description: partial 16S ribosomal RNA
Rfam family: Bacterial small subunit ribosomal RNA
Source: RNAcentral